UGGGGAAUUUUGGACAAUGGGGGAAACCCUGAUCCAGCCAUCCCGCGUGUGCGAUGAAGGCCUUCGGGUUGUAAAGCACUUUUGGCAGGAAAGAAACGUCAUGGGUUAAUACCCCGUGAAACUGACGGUACCAGCAGAAUAAGCACCGGCUAACUACGUGCCAGCAGCCGCGGUAAUACGUAGGGUGCAAGCGUUAAUCGGAAUUACUGGGCGUAAAGCGUGCGCAGGCGGUUCGGAAAGAAAGAUGUGAAAUCCCAGAGCUCAACUUUGGAACUGCAUUUUUAACUACCGGGCUAGAGUGUGUCAGAGGGAGGUGGAAUUCCGCAUGUAGCAGUGAAAUGCGUAGAUAUGCGGAGGAACACCGAUGGCGAAGGCAGCCUCCUGGGAUAACACUGACGCUCAUGCACGAAAGCGUGGGGAGCAAACAGG
This 429-nucleotide ribosomal RNA is filed under the name Acidobacteriota bacterium. Its description in RNAcentral is "Acidobacteria bacterium partial 16S ribosomal RNA". It matches the Rfam family "Bacterial small subunit ribosomal RNA", at positions 355 to 776 of the family's 1533-position model. The record is from RNAcentral. Lineage: Bacteria; Pseudomonadati; Acidobacteriota.